Molecule: ribosomal RNA, 1002 nt
Filed under: Triticum aestivum (bread wheat)
Lineage: Eukaryota; Viridiplantae; Streptophyta; Magnoliopsida; Poales; Poaceae
Description: partial small subunit ribosomal RNA
Source: RNAcentral
AUGAAGGGCAUUCACCGCAUCUCCACUGACGCAGUUGUAUCUCUAUCUUUCUCAAUUCUCCACCACUUCUAUCAGCACCGAUUUGUGGAGAGCGACAGCAGGAUGGGCAGGGUGAGGAGGCCAAGCAGCCAGAGUUCGGUGGCAGCAUAUGUUGGUCGUGCCGUCGAGCCAAGCGCGCCGGAAGUCGGUGACGAUGGCGCGGUGGUGCUCAGCGGCGUUGACGACGAGGUAACACAUGAGAAGCUCCUCGAGGUCCCGCUACGACGCUCGGACGUUGUCCUUCGCUGCACUAUCUCUGCCAUGCUCUCCAGGAAGUCCCCCUCUGGGUCCGCCGACUCCAUCACCAUCACGAGGCUCUCCUGCAGCCAGCGCCGCCUCUGUAGCAUGGUGGUCGCCAUUGGAGGCUGCUCCUACGCUGGCCUUCUUCCCUUCAACCAGCCGCUCAGCUUGACAUGUACCGGCCGUCGCCGUCAUGUCCUGUCCGUCGGUGAUGCCCUGCAGCUGCUCUUGGCCUCCUCCUCCCAGUCAACCUUCUUUGCCGCACCAGUCGGGCCUGGUGAGGAUCGGUCGCAGCUUCAGCCCGUGGAGCCGGCCAGCAGCGGCCCUAGGCUUCGAUGGCGGGGUGGAUUCCGAGCGCGGGCCACGGUGGUGGCUGGCUUCGUGGUCAUGCAAGCUACGACCUCCACCUUGAGCGGCGACAGGAGAUGCACGCACUUGCGGCCUACCAAGGUGCGUAGCUCACGGGACCGCAUGAACAAUUUGCCGUGGACGGUGUCCUCCUUCGUCCUCGCCUCCUCGGUCGGUUCAUCCACCGAGCUCAUCACUUAUACAUGCGAGGUUGCGUCCAGUCUCCAGUGCCGCCGCCUUGAGGAGCAGCAGGCCCUCUCACUUUCAGUCUCAGGCGCGAACAUCCACGGCGGAGGAAACCAGCUUGCUUGCUGGCGUGCACUGGACGUGAUAAUGGACGACGCGCAGCCUCGCAGGACGGCGGUGUUUGUGUGA